RNAcentral lists this long non-coding RNA (331 nucleotides) under Echeneis naucrates (live sharksucker). Its description in RNAcentral is "lncRNA (ENSENLG00000012709.1)". The record is from RNAcentral. Lineage: Eukaryota; Metazoa; Chordata; Actinopteri; Carangiformes; Echeneidae.
CUUUGAUGGCUAUGUCAUAUCCAGCAAGGAAAAUCUAAAUGACUGUAUCCAGUGUUGCCUGACCUGGAAGGAAAUAUACCUGGAAGAAUCACAGAUACACCACAAGUAUUCCUCAGAAGGGUGGAUUUUGGACCAUAGAAAUUUUUUUAUGGUGGUUGAUGCUUACAUUCAGCGGUUCAGGGACCUGCAAGAGAUAUGUGACUGCCAGCAUCAGUUUGCGCGCUGGGAGGAUGGUCAGCAGAGGGCCCUGCCAAUCUUCAGUGGUUGGAAAGGACUCGAGUUCUGCCGUGCCCUCCUUGAGAUAGAGGGUAACUUCCAUCGUGGCCUACAG